This 473-nucleotide ribosomal RNA is filed under the name uncultured bacterium. RNAcentral's name for it is "bacterial SSU rRNA". It matches the Rfam family "Bacterial small subunit ribosomal RNA", at positions 30 to 506 of the family's 1533-position model. The record is from RNAcentral.
UUGAACGCUGGCGGCAUGCCUAACACAUGCAAGUCGAACGGGUUGUAGCAAUACAACUAGUGGCGGACGGGUGAGGAAUACAUAGGAAUUUGCCUUUAGGUGGGGGAUAGUCCGGGGAAACUCGGUUUAAUACCGCAUGAUGUCGCAAGACCAAAGCAGGGGAUCGCAAGACCUUGCGCCUUUAGAGAAGCCUAUGUCGGAUUAGCUAGUUGGUAGGGUAAUGGCCUACCAAGGCGACGAUCCGUAACUGGUCUGAGAGGACGAUCAGUCACACCGGAACUGAGACACGGUCCGGACUCCUACGGGAGGCAGCAGUGGGGAAUAUUGGACAAUGGGCGAAAGCCUGAUCCAGCAAUGCCGCGUGUGUGAAGAAGGCCUUCGGGUUGUAAAGCACUUUAGUUUGGGAAGAAAAAGCUUCACCUAAUACGUGAAGCCUUGACGGUACCAAAGGAAUAAGCACCGGCUAACUCUGU